UGCAGGUUUAUCAGAUCCCAUCUCAGAUUUGUUGCAAUCACCUUGAUUUUUGGUAACUCUGCUGUCUCCACACUGGAUUUUAAAUGCAGGAGGCAACUGGGCUGUCUCAUGUGCGAAAACCUGAUGGCAUCAUCUAUGGGAAUUGUCUGCUCUCUGAGGAUACUCAACUUCUCUUGAACACAACCAAAUCAGAUCAUGCAUUGUCAUCUGAAAAGCAAACACUGAAUAUACCUUUUAAUUGGAUUGUCCAUCCUGGUUAGCAGGAGAUAAAUUCUUAUUUAAAAUAAUCAAAGAGUGGCCAACAUUCCAUGCUAUGCUGUCUCACAAGGACAAAGGUCUCCUGGGAACAUCUGGGCACAAUCCCAGACGGU
Long non-coding RNA from Myiozetetes cayanensis, 371 nucleotides. RefSeq lists it as uncharacterized. The record is from RefSeq and is a predicted model, not a curated record. The transcript is spliced from 4 exons. Lineage: Eukaryota; Metazoa; Chordata; Aves; Passeriformes; Tyrannidae.